CCUACGGGAGGCAGCAGUAAGGAAUAUUGGUCAAUGGACGAAAGUCUGAACCAGCCAUGCCGCGUGAAGGAUGAAGGCCCUCUGGGUUGUAAACUUCUUUUAUCUGGGACGAAAAAAGCUCAUUCUUGAGCACUUGACGGUACCAGAGGAAUAAGCACCGGCUAACUCCGUGCCAGCAGCCGCGGUAAUACGGAGGGUGCAAGCGUUAUCCGGAUUCACUGGGUUUAAAGGGUGCGUAGGUGGGUCUGUAAGUCAGUGGUGAAAUCUCCGAGCUUAACUCGGAAACUGCCAUUGAUACUAUAGGUCUUGAAUCAUCUGGAGGUAAGCAGAAUAUGUCAUGUAGCGGUGAAAUGCUUAGAUAUGACAUAGAACACCAAUUGCGAAGGCAGCUUACUACGGGUGCAUUGACACUGAGGCACGAAAGCGUGGGGAUCAAACAGGAUUAGAUACCCUGGUAGUCCACGCCCUAAACGAUGGAUACUCGACAUCAGCGAUACACUGUUGGUGUCUGAGNGAAGANAUAAUAUCCACCNCGAGACGACGACGAGUAGAACGACGAAGAAAGUAGAGACGNGAGAGNGCGAGGACGACACGAGGGAGGAGG
This 604-nucleotide ribosomal RNA is filed under the name uncultured bacterium. RNAcentral describes it as "bacterial SSU rRNA". The stretch from base 1 to 532 matches the Rfam family "Bacterial small subunit ribosomal RNA", at positions 338 to 873 of the family's 1533-position model. The record is from RNAcentral.